RNAcentral lists this ribosomal RNA (483 nucleotides) under uncultured bacterium. RNAcentral describes it as "partial 16S ribosomal RNA". It matches the Rfam family "Bacterial small subunit ribosomal RNA", at positions 29 to 508 of the family's 1533-position model. The record is from RNAcentral.
AUUGAACGCUGGCGGCAUGCCUUACACAUGCAAGUCGAACGGUAACAGGUCUUCGGAUGCUGACGAGUGGCGAACGGGUGAGUAAUACAUCGGAACGUGCCCAGACGUGGGGGAUAACGAGGCGAAAGCUUUGCUAAUACCGCAUACGAUCUAAGGAUGAAAGCAGGGGACCGCAAGGCCUUGCGCGUUUGGAGCGGCCGAUGGCAGAUUAGGUAGUUGGUGGGAUAAAAGCUUACCAAGCCGACGAUCUGUAGCUGGUCUGAGAGGACGACCAGCCACAACGGGAAUGGGACAAGGGCCAGACCCCCGCGGGAGGGCGCCGUUGGGGAAUUUGGGCCAAGGGGGAAAGGCUGAUCCCAGAAAGCCGCGUGGAAGAAGAAGGCCCUCGGGUUGUAAACUGCUUUUGUACGGAACGAAAAGGCUCUGGCUAAUACCUGGGGCACAUGACGGUACCGUAAGAAUAAGCACCGGCUAACUACGUGC